RNAcentral lists this long non-coding RNA (281 nucleotides) under Pan troglodytes (chimpanzee). RNAcentral's name for it is "long non-coding RNA NONPTRT012706". The record is from RNAcentral. Lineage: Eukaryota; Metazoa; Chordata; Mammalia; Primates; Hominidae.
CUGGCACACGUCACCAGGCCCGGAUAAUUUUUGUAUUUUUAGUAGAGAUGGGAUUUACCAUGUUGGUCAGGCUGGUCUCCAACUCCUGAUCUAGUGAUCUGCCCGCCUCCGCCUCCCGAAGUGUUUGGAUUACAGGUGUGAGCUACCGCACCUGGCAACAAGGACAUUUUUAUACAAGCUGAUCAGGCUGUGAAUUCCUGGUUGUAUGAGACGUGAAUUCCUGGUUGCUCCACUCCAUCUUUCCGGAGUGGAGACCCCAAAUUCUGUUGGGGAAAGUGUAC